GCGGAGGGACCGGUCUUCCCCACCCUUGAUAACACGGGCCCCGGUUUGGCCUUCGUAGCAUUGUCCACAACAGUAUUCCGGUGGCGGAGGGGCCGAUCGUCCGUACCCUUGAUAACACGGACCCCCAGUUUGGCCUCCGUAGCAUUGUCCACAACAAUAUCCGUGUGGCGGUUGUGGGUAUUCUUGAAUUGGCACUGGCGUUGGCAUUGGCAUUACGGGCUCUGGUUUAGGUUUAGGAACUUCUUUGGGCUUUUCGGGCUCUGGUUUAGGUUUAGGAACUUCUUUGGGCUUUUCGGGCUCUUUGGGCUUAGGCUUCUCAACUUCUUUUGGCUUUUCAGGUGUCUUAGGUUUCUGAGGCUCUUUAAUGAUAACAAUCUUAGGCUUCUCAGGUUCUUUAGGUUUUUCAGUAACGACAACCUUAGGCUUCUCAGGCUCCUUGGGCUUUUCAAUGACGACAACUUUAGGUUUUUCGGGCUCUUUAGGCUUUUCAGGUUUGGGCUUUUCGGGCUCUUUGGGCUUUUCGGGAGGUUUGGGCUUUGGAGGGUCUUUGAUUUCAAUGCUUUUGAUUACUCCACAUCCUUUACAACACAAUUUGUCACGAAGUUUUUCAGGAUUACAACAAACAACAGUGAUUGUGACUGUAUUGCCCUUCUCAUCAUAUACUUGAUCUCUAA
This 674-nucleotide long non-coding RNA is filed under the name Solanum lycopersicum (tomato). RNAcentral describes it as "long non-coding RNA (SLYC_LNC000882)". Lineage: Eukaryota; Viridiplantae; Streptophyta; Magnoliopsida; Solanales; Solanaceae. The record is from RNAcentral.